This is a small nucleolar RNA of Otolemur garnettii (small-eared galago), 107 nucleotides long. The record is from Ensembl. Lineage: Eukaryota; Metazoa; Chordata; Mammalia; Primates; Galagidae.
AUCUUUUUGUAGUUGAUAAGCACGAUGAUGACUGGGUUUUCAUGCUCAAGUGUGGGAUAGGCCUCCCUCAAACCUCCUUAGGAUGUUGGCACAUUAACCAUUUAGCG